UACGUAGGGUGCGAGCGUUGUCCGGAAUUAUUGGGCGUAAAGAGCUCGUAGGCGGUCUGUCGCGUCGGAUGUGAAAGCCCGGGGCUUAACUCCGGGUCUGCAUUCGAUACGGGCAGACUAGAGUGUGGUAGGGGAGAUCGGAAUUCCUGGUGUAGCGGUGAAAUGCGUAGAUAUCAGGAGGAACACCUGUGGCGAAAGCGGCUCACUGGACCAUAACUGACGCUGAUGCACGAAAGCUAGGGGAGCAAACAGG
RNAcentral lists this ribosomal RNA (253 nucleotides) under uncultured bacterium. RNAcentral describes it as "partial 16S ribosomal RNA". It matches the Rfam family "Bacterial small subunit ribosomal RNA", at positions 524 to 776 of the family's 1533-position model. The record is from RNAcentral.